UCCCUUGUAGCUCAGUCGAUAAAGAAUCUGCCUGCAAUGCAGAAGACCCAGGUUCGAUUCCUGGGUCAGGAA
This is a transfer RNA of Ovis aries (sheep), 72 nucleotides long. It matches the Rfam family "tRNA". Rfam says of the family: Transfer RNA (tRNA) molecules are approximately 80 nucleotides in length. NCBI's taxonomy places the organism in Eukaryota, Metazoa, Chordata, Mammalia, Artiodactyla, Bovidae. The record is from Rfam.